Non-coding RNA from Trichonephila clavipes, 75 nucleotides. NCBI's taxonomy places the organism in Eukaryota, Metazoa, Arthropoda, Arachnida, Araneae, Nephilidae. The record is from the annotation of a GenBank genome assembly.
GUCCCUGUAUCGCAAUGGAUAGCGCGUUGGACUUCUAAUCCAAAGGUCGUGGUUUUGUGAAUCCCAUCUGGGGUG